UCAUUAGCAUUAAUUAACAUUAAUUAGCAUCCAUGUUUACAACAUGACGACCUUCGUGCGCUCUGAUUGGUCUCACCAGUGACGUGUCGAAGGAGAAGGCGGGGCUUCGAGCUGACAGCAGGGAGUCAGGAGAGGGGGAGGAGCCUCGCAUGGCCAGGUGGAGAGACUGUCGUCGCCCUCCGUGGAGCUCACGCUGUCACGGUAACGGGACCUGGAGGGGCGGUGCCUGCGAGCUUUGACAGACAGCUGGGCGCGGCCCUUCUGGAUGCUGUUGUCCAGCAGCUCCGUCUCUGGGACCUCGUUCAGCCGGUUAGGGAGGACCGCGUCUCCCAGGGUUCCACGGGGCUUCGCUCCAGGCCAGGCGACGAUCUGGGCUGUGUCCAGAGGAUUGUGGGCGCUGUAGUUUCCUCUUCCAGGACGUUCAGCCUCGUCU
Molecule: long non-coding RNA, 433 nt
Organism: Sebastes umbrosus (honeycomb rockfish)
Lineage: Eukaryota; Metazoa; Chordata; Actinopteri; Perciformes; Sebastidae
Exons: 3
Source: RefSeq, a predicted model, not a curated record